This 84-nucleotide microRNA precursor is filed under the name Bombyx mori (domestic silkworm). RNAcentral describes it as "mir-2807 microRNA precursor family". It matches the Rfam family "mir-2807 microRNA precursor family". Lineage: Eukaryota; Metazoa; Arthropoda; Insecta; Lepidoptera; Bombycidae. The record is from Rfam by way of RNAcentral.
UUAACUCAUAUUUGUAUGGAGUGGGAUCGUUUGCCUACGUUUGCCGCUAGGGGCGCUGUUCCAACUGCAUACAAAAUUGGACUA